ACCUCCAUUGCUUGCUGUUUGGGGUUUUAGGCUGGGUUUAUGUACAGCACUUUGAGAUAUCAGCUGAUGUAAGAAGGGCUAUAUAAAUACAUUUGAUUUGAUUUUGAUUUGGUAUAGCCGAUGGAAUAGACAAUGGUAUAGCCGAUGGUAUGGAUGGAAUAGUUGAUGGCAUAGCCGAUUGUAUAGCCAGCCGAUGGUAUAGCAGAUUGUAUAGAUGGUAUACCCAAUGGUAUAGUCGAUGGUGUAGAUGGUAUAGCUGAUGGUGUUGCUGAUGGUGUUGCUGAUGGUAUGAAUUGUGUAGCUGAUGGUAUUGACGGUAUAUUGGCGAUGGUACAGAUGGUAUAGCCGAUGGUAUAGCCAAUGGUAUAGCUAUUGGUAUAGAUGGUAUAGCUGGUGGUAUAGCUGAUGGUAUAGAUGGUAUUGUCGAUGGUAUAGAUGGUAUAGCUGAUGGUAUAGAUAGUAUUGUCGAUGGUAUAGCUGAUGGUAUAGCUGAUGGUAUAGAUGGUGUUGUCAAUGGUAUAGCUUGUGUAGCAGAUGGUAUAGACGGUAUAGUCGAUGGCACAGAUGGUAUAGCUGAUGGUAUAGCUGGCAUACCUGAUGGUAUAGAUGGAAGAGCCAAUGGUAUAGAUGGUAAAGCUGAUGGUACAGAUAAUAUAGCUGAUGGUAUAGAUGGAAAAGACAAUAGAUGGAAAAGCCAAUGGUAUAGCUAAUGGUACAGAUGGUAUAGUCAAUGGUAUAGUUGAUGUCAUAGAUGGUAUAGCCGAUGGUAUAGCUGAUGGUAUAGCCGAUGGUAUAGCUGAUGGUAUAGAUGGUGUAGUCGAUGUAUAGCCAAUGGCAUAGAUGGUAAAGUGGACGGUAUAGAUGGCAUAGCCAAUGGUAUAGAUGGUAUAGUCAAUGGUAUAGAUGACAUAGCCAAUGGUAUAGAUGGUAUAGUCGACGGUAUAGAUGGCAUAACAAUGGUAUAGCUGAUGGUAGAGCCAAUAGCAUAGCCGACGGUAUAGAUGGUAUAGACAGUGAAGCCGAUUGUAUAUCAGAUGAUAGAGUUGAUAGUAUAGCCGAUUGCAUAGAUGGUAUAGCCGAUGGUAUAGCCGAUGGUCUGGAC
This 1102-nucleotide long non-coding RNA is filed under the name Salmo salar (Atlantic salmon). RNAcentral's name for it is "lncRNA (ENSSSAG00000115317.1)". The record is from RNAcentral. Lineage: Eukaryota; Metazoa; Chordata; Actinopteri; Salmoniformes; Salmonidae.